CCUACGGGUGGCAGCAGUAGGGAAUCUUCCACAAUGGGCGAAAGCCUGAUGCAGCAACGCCGCGUGGGUGAAGAAGGUCUUCGGAUCGUAAAACCCUGUUGUUAGAGAAGAAAGUGCGUGAGAGUAACUGUUCACGUUUCGACGGUAUCUAACCAGAAAGCCACGGCUAACUACGUGCCAACAGCCGCCGUAAUACUUCGGGGGCAAGCGUUAUCCGGAUUUAUUGGGCGUAAAGGGAACGCAGGCGGGCUUUUAAGUCUGAUGUGAAAGCCUUCGGCUUAACCGGUGUAGUGCUUUGGAAACUGGGAGACUUGAGUGCUGAAGAGGAAAGUGGAACUCCAUGUGUAGCGGUGAAAUGCGUAGAUAUAUGGAAGAACACCAGUGGCGAAGGCGGCUUUCUGGUCUGUAACUGACGCUGAGGUUCGAAAGCGUGGGUAGCAAACAGGAUUAGAUACCCCAGUAGUC
RNAcentral lists this ribosomal RNA (465 nucleotides) under uncultured bacterium. RNAcentral's name for it is "partial 16S ribosomal RNA". It matches the Rfam family "Bacterial small subunit ribosomal RNA", at positions 338 to 795 of the family's 1533-position model. The record is from RNAcentral.